AACGCAAAUUGCGCUCUUCUGCUUGCAGGAGAGCAUGUCUGUUUGAGGGUCAUUUUCAACUGAUUUCUCUGUUCUCUCUCUCUUUUACGGGAGAGAAGACAGGGAAGACGAUGGGCUCUGUCUUCUCACCUUCGAGGAAACACUGCCUGAAUAGCAUUGGGAAAACAAAAUGGAUAGUGUCCGGGCCCCGACCCUUCUCACGGGAGCCAAACCAAAACGGACCAAUCCGCUCAAUAACUUAUGACCAUGACCUCAAAUCAGACAAGACUACCCGCUGAACUUAA
RNAcentral lists this unclassified non-coding RNA (284 nucleotides) under uncultured fungus. RNAcentral's name for it is "partial contains 5.8S ribosomal RNA, internal transcribed spacer 2, and large subunit ribosomal RNA". The record is from RNAcentral. Lineage: Eukaryota; Fungi.